UGCAGGUUGGAGGAGUGGAUGCCUUAUCUGGCUCAUACCCAGAAGACACGGGUUCGAAUCCCGUACCUGCUA
RNAcentral lists this transfer RNA (72 nucleotides) under Lachnospiraceae bacterium. RNAcentral's name for it is "tRNA-Met". It matches the Rfam family "tRNA". From Rfam's summary of the family: Transfer RNA (tRNA) molecules are approximately 80 nucleotides in length. Their secondary structure includes four short double-helical elements and three loops (D, anti-codon, and T loops). Further hydrogen bonds mediate the characteristic L-shaped molecular structure. tRNAs have two regions of fundamental functional importance: the anti-codon, which is responsible for specific mRNA codon recognition, and the 3' end, to which the tRNAs corresponding amino acid is attached (by aminoacyl-tRNA synthetases). tRNAs cope with the degeneracy of the genetic code in two manners: having more than one tRNA (with a specific anti-codon) for a particular amino acid; and 'wobble' base-pairing, i.e. permitting non-standard base-pairing at the 3rd anti-codon position. Lineage: Bacteria; Bacillati; Bacillota; Clostridia; Lachnospirales; Lachnospiraceae. The record is from RNAcentral. RNAcentral also lists the same sequence under 1 other name.